UCCUUAGUGGUGUAGUGGUUAACAUCGCUGUCUCUCAACCAAUUAAGAUUGGAUAGGGCACAGCAGCCCGGGGUUCGAUUCCCCGCUAAGGAA
Molecule: transfer RNA, 93 nt
Filed under: Rasamsonia emersonii
Lineage: Eukaryota; Fungi; Ascomycota; Eurotiomycetes; Eurotiales; Trichocomaceae
Also listed under: 1 other name
Description: tRNA-Glu
Rfam family: tRNA
About the family: Transfer RNA (tRNA) molecules are approximately 80 nucleotides in length. Their secondary structure includes four short double-helical elements and three loops (D, anti-codon, and T loops). Further hydrogen bonds mediate the characteristic L-shaped molecular structure. tRNAs have two regions of fundamental functional importance: the anti-codon, which is responsible for specific mRNA codon recognition, and the 3' end, to which the tRNAs corresponding amino acid is attached (by aminoacyl-tRNA synthetases). tRNAs cope with the degeneracy of the genetic code in two manners: having more than one tRNA (with a specific anti-codon) for a particular amino acid; and 'wobble' base-pairing, i.e. permitting non-standard base-pairing at the 3rd anti-codon position.
Source: RNAcentral